RNAcentral lists this long non-coding RNA (508 nucleotides) under Gopherus agassizii (Agassiz's desert tortoise). Its description in RNAcentral is "lncRNA (ENSGAGG00000017311.1)". Lineage: Eukaryota; Metazoa; Chordata; Testudines; Testudinidae. The record is from RNAcentral.
AUGAAAUAAGAACGGGACCUUCCGGUUCCCCCCCCCCCCAGCAGCUGGGGGGGGUGGGGCAUCCCCAGUCAGCCCUAGCCCCCGGCAAGCAGGUGAGGAUGAGACAGAGAUCGGUGAAGAUGGACUCCCCCAGAGGACUGUGGGAAGCGUGGAGGCUUCACCCCAAUCCUGCACUCCAAGAGGAGGACCAGGAGCCCCACAUUCUACAAGAUCUCACACAUCCCCAGGGGUCUCUGCCUAGCUCGGAGAGGUGUGAGCGGCAGCAGGGCAGGGCUGACCUGCCCUGGGAGCCUGGAAUCCAGGUGGGUCGUGGGGCUGACCGGGUUCCUGGGAAGAUGAAACUGGCCUAGGUUCUGGUCUCAGUGACCCCAGUGUACGUCUGCUGUGGGUCUGAUUUGGGGCAGGAGUGAGCAGGCGGGAUACCGGGCUAGAUGGGCACCUAGGUCUGAUCGAGGGCAGCACGGAAGAGUGAGAUACCAGGCUAGAUGGAUGUAAGUCUUGCUAGGAA